UUCUCUCUUCCCAAGUUCCAAGUCGGUAUUAAGUCGUAUGUAGACCUCCACUCCCCUCUUCCGUUACCUCACCUGUCUUGUAUGGCUGUUUGAAUUAUCCAAAUCUUCUAUUCGUCAGCCGCGACGAGCAUCGCUGAGGACGGGAACAAGGAGACAGAAGCUGCCCUCAUCGGGAAGCAAAGAGAGUUCUUUUCGGCAUUUCUAUCAGUGAUUACAGUCAGUAUUUGCGAUUCCCAAUCAGUGAGGCUUGCCCCAUUAAGUGCAGCUAUUUAAUGUGAUUUCCGCGGUUGACUUUGUUCUUUUAGAUGACGUAUCUGUGCACUCUUUUAUGGUGUUUUAAUUUUGAAUGAUUUAUUGGUAACUAAAGCAAGCUUCUUUAGUUCA
Elaeis guineensis (African oil palm) is the source of this 384-nucleotide long non-coding RNA. RefSeq lists it as uncharacterized. The record is from RefSeq and is a predicted model, not a curated record. Lineage: Eukaryota; Viridiplantae; Streptophyta; Magnoliopsida; Arecales; Arecaceae.